RNAcentral lists this ribosomal RNA (573 nucleotides) under Rhabdocline pseudotsugae. RNAcentral's name for it is "eukaryotic LSU rRNA". The stretch from base 211 to 364 matches the Rfam family "5.8S ribosomal RNA". Lineage: Eukaryota; Fungi; Ascomycota; Leotiomycetes; Helotiales; Cenangiaceae. The record is from RNAcentral.
CUUGGUCAUUUAGAGGAAGUAAAAGUCGUAACAAGGUUUCCGUAGGUGAACCUUCGGAAGGAUCAUUACCGAGUUUCUUGCCCUAGCGGGCAGAUCUCCCACCCGGUGUAUUUAUACCGUGUUGCUUUGGGGCCUCCAGGCCUCACCGCCCGGGGCCAAAGGCCGAAAACUCUGUGAAUUACUGUCGUCUGAGUACCAUAUAAUAGUUAAAACUUUCAACAACGGAUCUCUUGGUUCUGGCAUCGAUGAAGAACGCAGCGAAAUGCGAUAAGUAAUGUGAAUUGCAGAAUUCAGUGAAUCAUCGAAUCUUUGAACGCACAUUGCGCCCCUUGGUAUUCCGGGGGGCAUGCCUGUUCGAGCGUCAUUUCAACCCUUACGCCUUGCGUAGUCUUGGGCCCCACCCUCACGGGUCGGCCCUAAAACUAGUGGCGGUGUCCCCUCGGGCCUGAGCGUAGUACUUCUUCUCGCUAUAGGCUCCGGGAGGACGCUGGCCAGCAACCCCAAAUCUUAUCUGGUUGACCUCGGAUCAGGUAGGGAUACCCGCUGAACUUAAGCAUAUCAAUAAGCGGAGGA